AGUACUUUCACAGGUUAAGUAGCUAAAGGCCAAAAUGGGAAUAACAAAAACUGGCCCUCCAAAUCUCAUGGAUGUCACAAAAAAGCGAUGCAGCAAUAACACGUGUUUGUUCGUGUGUGUUCCCUGUGAUGAACUUGUGUCCUCUCCAGAGUGAACCAUGCCUUACACCAAUUACAUAGUAGGUACUGUCUUCCCCACAACCCCGUUCACCUAUACAGUACAUGCAGUAUUUGUUUUACUCAAUUGAUAUUAUGGUAGAGCUUUUACAUUUUUAUUAUGAAUAUUUCUUUCAUUUUCCUGAUUUUCAAUUUUGACUGACAUAACCCAUUGCACACUGUAUCAGUGUCAAUAAUUCACAAAUACAAGCUAAAAGCUCAAGGGUAACAUCAACAGUGACACUUUGUAGAUCACUACUGCAUUAUGUUUAUCAUAUGAAAAGCCAUCCAACUGAAGAAACGGCCUUCUCAGCACUCUGAUUUUAAAAUAACCUCAACAUGCUGUCUGUUCUUUAUCAUGAAAACUGUAUAUUUCCUCAUUCAUGUUAACAUAGUUCAGAGGAAACUGGGGUUUUGAUCAUUCUUUUACGUUAAAUUAUUUUUUUAGAAUUCAGUUUUUAAUAAAAACUCACCCCAGAAUGUCAUCUACAUAUAGGCAGGAUAAAUACAUAUUAACUAGGUUUUAUAACAUUACCAUUACCUAAGGGAGGUGAUGCAGUAGUAAGGCACUACGCUUAACUUUAAUGGCUUUUUGGACUUAAACCUCUAGGCAGCAUGUGCUAUCAAAUCUUUGAAAAAAUAGACUUCUACAGUGGUGAAUCUCAAAAUUUCAGAUACCAGUUCUAUGAAAUGUUCUUGUCAGAACACAAAUUGCAGGUUAUUAACUGAAAGAGUGCUACAUUAAUAACUGAUCUA
Molecule: long non-coding RNA, 911 nt
Filed under: Lepisosteus oculatus (spotted gar)
Lineage: Eukaryota; Metazoa; Chordata; Actinopteri; Semionotiformes; Lepisosteidae
Description: lncRNA (ENSLOCG00000023058.1)
Source: RNAcentral